Molecule: transfer RNA, 71 nt
Filed under: Bos taurus (domestic cattle)
Lineage: Eukaryota; Metazoa; Chordata; Mammalia; Artiodactyla; Bovidae
Rfam family: tRNA
About the family: Transfer RNA (tRNA) molecules are approximately 80 nucleotides in length. Their secondary structure includes four short double-helical elements and three loops (D, anti-codon, and T loops).
Source: Rfam by way of RNAcentral
UCCCAGUGGCUUAGAUGGUAAAGAAUCUGCCUUCAAAGCGGGAGACCCAGGUUCAAUUCCUGGGUUGGGAA